RNAcentral lists this unclassified non-coding RNA (205 nucleotides) under uncultured Psathyrella. RNAcentral describes it as "sequence contains ITS2". The record is from RNAcentral. Lineage: Eukaryota; Fungi; Basidiomycota; Agaricomycetes; Agaricales; Psathyrellaceae.
AAUUCUCAACCUCACCAGUUUUGUAACGAGACAGGUGAAGGCUUGGAUGUGGGGGUUUUGCAGGCUGCCUCAGUGCUGGUCUGCUCUCCUGAAAUGCAUUAGCGAGCUCAUAUUGAGCUUCCGUCUAUUGGUGUGAUAAUUAUCUAUGCCGUGGAUUGGACUCAUGCUUGCUUCUAACCGUCCGCAAGGACAAUUUACUUGACCA